GUAGUUGAUGUGCAACGGGUGUUUUGACACUUUUUCUGCACCAAAGUAUGGAUUUAGCGACAACAACUUCGGAUUGAAAAUCCGCGUGUCACUGGUUCGAUUCCGGUCCUGGGCACCA
Molecule: transfer RNA, 118 nt
Filed under: Rhizobium ruizarguesonis
Lineage: Bacteria; Pseudomonadati; Pseudomonadota; Alphaproteobacteria; Hyphomicrobiales; Rhizobiaceae
Description: tRNA-Phe
Source: RNAcentral